This is a non-coding RNA of Ictidomys tridecemlineatus (thirteen-lined ground squirrel), 1249 nucleotides long. The record is from RefSeq and is a predicted model, not a curated record. Lineage: Eukaryota; Metazoa; Chordata; Mammalia; Rodentia; Sciuridae.
CACAGGGGCCCACAGGCGAACAAAACUUGGAGAGAUCACAAUGCAAGCAGGAUACAGGGAUGCCAAGUCACAGACUUGUCCAGGCCUCCAUAUUGCCAAUUUUAAGCCCUGACCACAUGACUGCGGGGAAACAUGAAUAUGAGAAGGCAAGCCUGAAGAUGUGAUUGACAUGGAGGUCCCAGAGAAGAGAGGAACCCUUUGGCCUUUGCCAGUCUUGGCCUGGCCCUCUGCGUUUUUAUCUGUCAGCCAUGUGGGCCAGUCCUCCUCAUCCAGCCUCAACUGAGGGGAUCCUGCUUGUUGGGGAGGAUCAAAUGCUUGCCUCUGCUUCAGAGUUGCAGUGAAGAUGGCGGGAGCAGACUGAGGCCUGGUGUUUAUGGCAUGUGUUCUGGGCCUGAGCUGCUCAACAGGACACCCAGAGGGAGCUGGGGACCCUUGGCACCAGAGCAUUUGCAGAGGUAAUGAGCUACCAUCCAGGGGGAUGCUGCAUGGGAGGGACUUUGACAUCACGACUGAGGAUGAAGUGUCCAUCUAGUGAGCGCCCACUCACUUGGCAACAUGAAAGGGCUUUAUCAUGGGACAGGAAGGAGUCUGCAUGCUGGAGCCUCCUUAAUAGGCCAAGUGGUGCUCAGAAGACUCUAGUUGCUCCUGACAACUUAGGGGCAGAGGCUCUGUGUGAUCCCAUUCCACAGACGGGGAAAUGGAAGCUUUUUGCCCACAUUCAUACUUGCAAUCUCUAGUUGUCACAAUUCCAAUUAACUUUUCCAUGUACCUCACAACUUGCUGUCCUGAGGUGCCACCUGCAAGGGGACUGAGAAGCAUUCAGGAUUGAAGGUGGCCCUGGGAGAAUAGUGCAGCACCUGCCACCAGGGCCAGGCAAGUUGUUGUCUCUGGAGAGGGCAUGCUCAGGACUCGACGCCUGCCUCUCCCUCAAUGAGGAGCCUUGCCAGGCCAUUCACUCCACAGGGCCCAGCACCCUCUUUGCCAUGCGUGAGUGCUGAGCUGAAAGCCGCCUCAGACUGGUCCUGAAGAGCAGCGCAUUCUUCCCGAUGUUGACAGGAGUAGUAUUUUGUAGUGGUGCUGGUUAAUUUGUAGUGGCAUUUGUGGUUUGAAGCCUUGUCAAGAUCCCUGAUUACUUCCCGUGCAAGGAGCGCGGCUGACGGGGAAGUUCACAUGCUGAACAAAAGCAGCCAGGCAGCUGGGAGGGAAGGCUACACCACGCCGGGUGACCCUGGCCGCUUGGGGGACAGUG